UCACCCCUCAAGCCCCUGGCUUGGUGUUGGAUGGCUUGGUUCGGCUCUGCCGGACCCCUCCGAAAGACAAUGACGGCGGCCCGUGGGACCCCCGGUACACUGAGCUUCUUAACUGAGCACGUAUCGGAUUGAGGGUACCCCGGCCCCGGUCUACUCCCCUUUUAGGGGGAAUCAUAUAUCAA
This 182-nucleotide unclassified non-coding RNA is filed under the name uncultured Chaetothyriales. RNAcentral describes it as "sequence contains ITS2". The record is from RNAcentral. Lineage: Eukaryota; Fungi; Ascomycota; Eurotiomycetes; Chaetothyriales.